CCUACGGGAGGCUGCAGUCGAGAAUCAUUCACAAUGGGGGAAACCCUGAUGGUGCGACGCCGCGUGGGGGAAUGAAGGUCUUCGGAUUGUAAACCCCUGUCAUGUGGGAGCAAAUUAAAAAGAUAGUACCACAAGAGGAUGAGACGGCUAACUCUGUGCCAGCAGCCGCGGUAAUACAGAGGUCUCAAGCUGUGUGCGGAAUCACUGGGCGUAAAGCGUGCGUAGGCUGUUUGGUAAGUCGUGUGUGAAAGGCGCGGGCUCAACCCGCGGACGGCACAUGAUACUGGGAGACUAGAGUAAGGGAGGGGGAACCGGAAUUCUCGGUGUAGCAGUGAAAUGCGUAGAUAUCGAGAGGAACACUCGUGGCGAAGGCGGGUUCCUGGACAUUAACUGACGCUGAGGCACGAAGGCCAGGGGAGCGAAAGGGAUUAGAUACCCUAGUAGUC
Molecule: ribosomal RNA, 446 nt
Filed under: uncultured bacterium
Lineage: Bacteria
Description: partial 16S ribosomal RNA
Rfam family: Bacterial small subunit ribosomal RNA
Source: RNAcentral